CGCUGGCGGCGUGCCUAACACAUGCAAGUCAACUUGACUGAAGGAGCAAUCUGACAGUAGAGUGGCGCAAGGGUGCGUAACGCGUAAGUAACUUGCCCCAAGGUAAGGAAUAACGUCGAGAAAUCGGCGCUAAUACCUCAUAAUGCAGCGGAUCCGCAUGGAUAUGUUGUUAAAGGUUUACCGCCUUGGGAUAGGCUUGCGUCUGAUUAGCUAGUUGGUGUGGUAACGGCACACCAAGGUUACGAUCAGUAACUGGUCUGAGAGGAUGAUCAGUCACACUGGAACUGAGACACGGUCCAGACUCCUACGGGAGGCAGCAGUGAGGAAUAUUGGGCAAUGCUCGAAAGAGUGACCCAGCAACGCCGCGUGGAGGAUGAAGGUAUUCUAUAUCGUAAACUCCUGAGAGAGCAGACGAAAGACAGAUUAUUAAUCUGGAUGACUGUAUGCUCAGAGGAAGCCCCGGCUAACUACGUG
This 474-nucleotide ribosomal RNA is filed under the name uncultured bacterium. Its description in RNAcentral is "bacterial SSU rRNA". It matches the Rfam family "Bacterial small subunit ribosomal RNA", at positions 34 to 507 of the family's 1533-position model. The record is from RNAcentral.